CCUACGGGAGGCAGCAGUGGGGGAUAUUGCACAAUGGGGGAAACCCUGAUGCAGCGACGCCGCGUGGGUGAAGAAGCGCCUCGGCGCGUAAAGCCCUGUCAGCAGGGAAGAAAAUGACGGUACCUGAAGAAGAAGCCCCGGCGAACUACGUGCCAGCAGCCGCGGUAAGACGUAGGGGGCAAGCGUUAUCCGGAUUUACUGGGUGGACAGGGGGCGCAGACGGCGAGGCAAGCCAGGAGUGAAAGCCCGGGGCCCAACCCCGGGACUGCUCUUGGAACUGCGUGGCUAGAGUGCAGGAGGGGCAGGCGGAAUUCCUGGUGUAGCGGUGAACUGCGUAGCUAUCAGGAGGAACCCCGGUGGCGACGGCGGCCUGCUGGACUGCAACUGACGUUGAGGCCCGAAAGCGUGGGGAGCAAACAGGAUUAGAUACCCCUGUAGUC
This 440-nucleotide ribosomal RNA is filed under the name uncultured bacterium. RNAcentral's name for it is "partial 16S ribosomal RNA". It matches the Rfam family "Bacterial small subunit ribosomal RNA", at positions 338 to 795 of the family's 1533-position model. The record is from RNAcentral.